UCCUACGGGAGGCAGCAGUAGGGAAUCUUCCGCAAUGGACGAAAGUCUGACGGAGCAACGCCGCGUGAGUGAUGAAGGCUUUCGGGUCGUAAAACUCUGUUGUUAGGGAAGAACAAGUGCUAGUUGAAUAAGCUGGCACCUUGACGGUACCUAACCAGAAAGCCACGGCUAACUACGUGCCAGCAGCCGCGGUAAUACGUAGGUGGCAAGCGUUAUCCGGAAUUAUUGGGCGUAAAGCGCGCGCAGGUGGUUUCUUAAGUCUGAUGUGAAAGCCCACGGCUCAACCGUGGAGGGUCAUUGGAAACUGGGAGACUUGAGUGCAGAAGAGGAAAGUGGAAUUCCAUGUGUAGCGGUGAAAUGCGUAGAGAUAUGGAGGAACACCAGUGGCGAAGGCGACUUUCUGGUCUGUAACUGACACUGAGGCGCGAAAGCGUGGGGAGCAAACAGGAUUAGAUACCCUGGUAGUCCACGCCGUAAACGAUGAGUGCUAAGUGUUAGGGGGUUUCCGCCCCUUAGUGCUGCAGCUAACGCAUUAAGCACUCCGCCUGGGGAGUACGGUCGCAAGACUGAAACUCAAAGGAAUUGACGGA
This 590-nucleotide ribosomal RNA is filed under the name uncultured bacterium. Its description in RNAcentral is "bacterial SSU rRNA". It matches the Rfam family "Bacterial small subunit ribosomal RNA", at positions 337 to 917 of the family's 1533-position model. The record is from RNAcentral.